RNAcentral lists this small RNA (124 nucleotides) under Escherichia coli. RNAcentral describes it as "partial RtT sRNA". It matches the Rfam family "RtT RNA". From Rfam's summary of the family: This family represents a bacterial cis-regulatory element known as RtT RNA. Lineage: Bacteria; Pseudomonadati; Pseudomonadota; Gammaproteobacteria; Enterobacterales; Enterobacteriaceae. The record is from RNAcentral.
CAAGCGGAGAAGGAUGAGAAGCUUCGACUAAGGUUCGACUCGAGCGCCAGCGAGAGAGCGUUGCCGCAGGCAACGACCUGAAGGGCGAAGCGCGCAGCGCUGAGUAAUCCUUCCCCCACCACCA